Molecule: long non-coding RNA, 1807 nt
Organism: Eleginops maclovinus (Patagonian blennie)
Lineage: Eukaryota; Metazoa; Chordata; Actinopteri; Perciformes; Eleginopidae
Exons: 2
Source: RefSeq, a predicted model, not a curated record
CGUGUCUUUCCCCGGAAGCGGAAGUGGAAAUGUUUGGAAGCUGCAGUACCGUGUGGCGGAAGUACAGUAGAGCAGAGCAGAGGGUCGUUGUUGAAUUACCGACUGAGUACUUUGAUAAGCUGUGUGUUUUUGAAAGCAACUUUACUUGGAAUGGUUCCUGUGAAGAUCCAGUGGAAGUAUUGUGAGUGUAUACCUGAGAAAGAGGCUACCUUUUUCUUUCUUGCAUCAGAGUACAGUGUCCAUAUAAACAAUGCGACUUCCAAACUAUGAGUCUCCUCACACUCGUACCGCCAGCCACAGUAUUAUUGAGUCUUUAAUUUAAUACUGGAGCAUUCUUUUUAUUGUUCAGGUGUUCAUAGAGUUCCCGACGCAGGUGUUACAGGGGCUAAUACUAAACCACCGGCAUUGGAGCACCAGUGAGGUUAAGCCAUCACAUAGCAGCUUUAGCAUUGGGCUUAAGCUGCUACAUCCAUAGAUACAGUCUAUGGCUACAUCAGUUAAAAACCAGCCAGUUGGAACUUUGUUACAUUAUUUCAGAUUCGCUAUGCGUGCUAAUUAGCAUGCUAGCAUUAGCAUUAGCACCGUGGCUAAUCAUCGCACAUUGAGUCAGGUAUGAGCAGCUACAAGGUUUAUUUGAUAAUGUGUGUGUUCACAAAACUGAACAAAACCUUUGGCAGCAGAAGUGGAAAGAGAAGAGACUCUAUAUUGACUGAUUUGCCGGAACUGACUAUUUCUAUGGACGUGUGAUGCUGCAUCCAACGCAAAUAUCGUCACUGGGAGGGCUUAGCAAACUGCCGGUGUUACCAUUAACUUGUUGCUCCUCAACUGGUGAUAUUCUACAAUGUGAAGCAGAUUUGUGUGGGGGGGUGUACUUUAAGGAACCAAUGUGGACUGACCAGGAAAUGCACAUUUUGAUCGUUUUAUCUGUGGUUUACAUUUCUCUUUUGCUAUAUUUGUCUCCAUAGGAACAUAUGCUGCUCAUUCAGUGCGAAUAUUUGAGGCCGUGGUAACAAUACCGAUAUCAGGACGCUCACAGUGAGGACUACACGACGACACAAUUAGGUGACUGUGUGGUUGCUUCUUCAAAAACGUUGAAAGCUUAAAUGAACCAUUUAGACCAGUUAUUUGUGACAGACUUAUUACUUUAAAUCGUUCUUAAUGUCGUUCUCAAAGCUAAUCUGCAUUAACAACGAUGCACAACUGACAAAAAUAUAUAUUUAAAUGAUUUAUUAAAGUUUGCAAGGUGCGAACAGGCAUCCACACGGUCACCUACUUUGUCCUUUUCUAGUUCUCACUGUGCAGGGCACCAUAUCGGCCUCUAACCCACAACCUCACACGUGCUACUGAAUGAGCAUCAGUGUUCCUGUGGAGGCAGAUACACCAAAAGAUGAGUUGCAUAGCGAUCAAAGUGGUGGCUUUUAAUGUGCGCAGCAGUAAUCCAGAGAUAACUUGGUAUGUUACAUUUCUGCAAGGGGGGGGGAUUAAUAUAAACUGGAUUUAGAGACAAUAUAUUUUCUCUAAAUCCAGUUUAUAAUAUAUAUUUCAAAAUAGUUUAUUAUACUUUGUAAUUCCAAAUAUUUGCAAUAUAAAAUGUCAAAAUAGAAAUAUAUUUGUUUUUAAAUGCGUUUCAAGCUUAGGUUAAUCUCUAGAGAAGAGAUGAUCCUGAAGUUCUCCUUUUGUUAGUUAGAUGUUAGUCUAGUGUUUUUCCUCCUUGUGAGCGCUUUGUGUUACUCCUCGAUACCUACCCUGAAAGAAGGAUCUUUUUGUGUUCAUCUUAAUUAAAAGAUAUUUCUGUUACAUUCAAGAA